This 253-nucleotide ribosomal RNA is filed under the name uncultured bacterium. RNAcentral describes it as "partial 16S ribosomal RNA". It matches the Rfam family "Bacterial small subunit ribosomal RNA", at positions 524 to 776 of the family's 1533-position model. The record is from RNAcentral.
UACGUAGGGGGCUAGCGUUGUCCGGAAUCAUUGGGCGUAAAGAGCUCGUAGGCGGUCUGUCGCGUCUGCUGUGAAAACUCGGGGCUUAACCCCGGGCCUGCAGUGGGUACGGGCAGACUAGAGUGCGGUAGGGGAGACUGGAAUUCCUGGUGUAGCGGUGAAAUGCGCAGAUAUCAGGAGGAACACCGGUGGCGAAGGCGGGUCUCUGGGCCGAUAUUGACGCUGAGGAGCGAAAGCGUGGGGAGCGAACAGG